UCCCCAGUGGCGCAAUCGGUUAGCGCGCGGUACUUAUAAUGCCGAGGUUGUGAGUUCGAUCCUCACUUCGGAAA
Non-coding RNA from Ornithodoros turicata, 74 nucleotides. The record is from the annotation of a RefSeq genome assembly. NCBI's taxonomy places the organism in Eukaryota, Metazoa, Arthropoda, Arachnida, Ixodida, Argasidae.